Molecule: non-coding RNA, 476 nt
Organism: Arvicola amphibius (Eurasian water vole)
Lineage: Eukaryota; Metazoa; Chordata; Mammalia; Rodentia; Cricetidae
Source: the annotation of a RefSeq genome assembly
ACUGUACUCUUGCCUUCACUGAUAACUAUUUAGUUUAUCUCCUCAAAAUGAUGUUUCCUGUCCAGUCCCUGUUUCUGCCAAUUUUCUGCAUUCUGGGAACCAAUGGUGAUGUUGUGAUGACCCAGACUCCACUCUCUUUACCGGUUACCAUUGGACAAUCAGCCUCCAUCUCUUGCCGGUCAAGUCAGAGUCUCUUAUACAGUGAUGGAAAUACCUAUUUGAGUUGGUACCUACAGAGACCAGGCCAGUCUCCACAGCGCCUAAUCUAUUUGGUGUCCAACCGUGACUCUGGAGUCCCUGACAGGUUCAGUGGCAGUGGGUCAGGGACAGAUUUCACACUCAAAAUCAACAGAGUAGAGGCUGAGGAUAUAGGAGUUUACUACUGCUUCCAAGGUACACAUGUUCCUCCCACAGUGAUACAGACCCUAACAAAAACCUCCUUGCUUGGAGAGGUUCAGCUGCAAUGUGCUGCUUGA